This 784-nucleotide ribosomal RNA is filed under the name uncultured cyanobacterium. RNAcentral's name for it is "bacterial SSU rRNA". It matches the Rfam family "Bacterial small subunit ribosomal RNA", at positions 37 to 865 of the family's 1533-position model. Lineage: Bacteria; Bacillati; Cyanobacteriota. The record is from RNAcentral.
UGGCGGCGUGCCUACACAUGCAAGUCGAACGGGAAUCUUCGGAUUCUAGUGGCGGACGGGUGAGUAACGCGUAAGAAUCUAACUUCAGGACGGGGACAACAGUUGGAAACGACUGCUAAUACCCGAUGUGCCGAAAGGUGAAACCUAAUUGGCCUGGAGAAGAGCUUGCGUCUGAUUAGCUAGUUGGUGGGGUAAAGGCCUACCAAGGCGACGAUCAGUAGCUGGUCUGAGAGGAUGAGCAGCCACACUGGGACUGAGACACGGCCCAGACUCCUACGGGAGGCAGCAGUGGGGAAUUUUCCGCAAUGGGCGAAAGCCUGACGGAGCAACGCCGCGUGAGGGAGGAAGGUCUUUGGAUUGUAAACCUCUUUUCUCAAGGAAGAAGUUCUGACGGUACUUGAGGAAUCAGCCUCGGCUAACUCCGUGCCAGCAGCCGCGGUAAUACGGGGGAGGCAAGCGUUAUCCGGAAUUAUUGGGCGUAAAGCGUCCGCAGGUGGUCAGCCAAGUCUGCCGUCAAAUCAGGUUGCUUAACGACCUAAAGGCGGUGGAAACUGGCAGACUAGAGAGCAGUAGGGGUAGCAGGAAUUCCCAGUGUAGCGGUGAAAUGCGUAGAGAUUGGGAAGAACAUCGGUGGCGAAAGCGUGCUACUGGGCUGUAUCUGACACUCAGGGACGAAAGCUAGGGGAGCGAAAGGGAUUAGAUACCCCUGUAGUCCUAGCCGUAACGAUGGAUACUAGGCGUGGCUUGUAUCGACCCGAGCCGUGCCGAAGCUAACGCGUUAAGU